Molecule: long non-coding RNA, 314 nt
Organism: Pollicipes pollicipes
Lineage: Eukaryota; Metazoa; Arthropoda; Thecostraca; Pollicipedomorpha; Pollicipedidae
Exons: 3
Source: RefSeq, a predicted model, not a curated record
CUUGGUAGCGCCGCGAGGUUUAUGUUCGUGAGGUGGUCAACGUUGAAAAGGUAUCCGCGCCGGUGAAGAUGCCUACAAGGGGCCGUACACCAUCUCGUGGCAGAGCUGGCGCUGUCAAGAAGUCGCCAGCGCGCUCACGAUCGCGUAGUCGCGGACGCAAGUCGCCGGCGCGUGGCGCCCGCUCACCAGCGCGUGUCAGCAAGUCGCCGGCGAGGGUCAGCAAGUCACCGGCGAGAGCCAGCAAGUCACCGGCGAGAGUCAGCAAGCCGUCGCCGCCGCCGCUGCCGCGAAGCAGGUCGCCCGCCCGCGUCACC